UACGGGAUCUCAGUCGAGUGAGCAUCUCCGACACGGCAACACCUGCAGCCCACUAUUUGUCACCAACUGCCUUCUUCAUUGCAAUUCCGGUUCGCAAUCACGGUAUAGUUAACCAUGGCGCCGUGCUGCUGUUUGUUGUUGUAUGGUUAAUGGUUGGGUCGACCACGGGUGUACCGAUGUCUCCUGGACAUGGUGGAUACCAAGCAACAGCAGCGAAAGAAUAAUGCACCACGUCGCCGCCUUACUACACAUCAACGUCUAGAUACGCAACAUCUACUUACUACGCCGAGGCUCCGAAGUACCACAUCACCGAGUUUAUACUGUCCCAGCCUACUACUCCGAAGUCCCCAAUUACUACAGGACUAUGAAUGCUGCCCCAGCCUACUACACCGAGGCCCCAUCUUAUUUGAAUACCAAAGCGGUUGAGUACUACACCGAACCGCACAAGUACUACUCUGACCCGAACUACACAACCACAAUUGGGGCGGCCAAGUACUACGUAGCCCAGACUUACAACACAGCAGCUGCUCCUUCCUACUACGUUGAACUGUAAUACUACACCGAGACUCCCAAUUUACUACACCACAACCUACGCUACACCUAGAUACUACGACGAAGCCCCCAACUAUGUUACACCGAAAAGGCCACACAUUACACAACCACGUACACUGCCCCAGUUUACUUCACUGAGAAACCCAAGUAUAACUCUGCUCCAAGCUACUACCAAACUGAGGCUCCUGUUUACUACCCCAAGGCCACCGGGGAUUACACUACAACCAAAUGUUAAAUAUGGCGUCGUGCUGUUGUUGGUUGUUGUUUCCUUGACGGUUAAGUCGACCACUGGUGUGUCUCGGGGGAAUGUGGACACCAAACCGCAACGCCACCGUCUUAUAACACAACAACAUACGCAACAACCGGUUACUUCACCACCGGUUACUUCACCACCAAUUCCUCAGAGUAUAAUCCACAACUGAUGAUGUUCCGAACUACUACACCGAAGCCCCAAAGUAUAACUCUGCCCCGAGUUACACCACCAAGGCACCGGAGUACUACACCACCAAGGCACCGGAGUACUACACCACCAAGGCACCGGAGUACUACAUCACCACGUAUGCUGCCCCAGCCUUUUACAUCGAGGCCUAAGUACUACUCCGAUCCCAGCUACUUCACCGAGGCUCCAGCUGAUUACGCCACCAAAGCGGUCAAAUACAACACCGAAGCGCCCUAGUACUACUCUGCACCGAACUACUACACAGCGGCUGCUUCUUCGUACCAACUACGUUGGACCGAAAUACUACACUGAGGUUCCAGUUUACUACACUACAACCCACGCUGCCUUCAGCUACCAUACCGAGGUUCCGCUCCCAUACCGAUGUGCCUAAGUACUACACAACAAAGGCACCCGAGUAUUGUAUCACUACUUAGACUGCUCCGACCUACUGCAUAGAAGCUGCGAAGUAUUCCACUGCCCUGAGUUACAACACCAAUAAGGCACCUGAAUGUUACAUCACAACUUUCGCUUCUCCAGUUAACUACAGGGAGGCUCUUAAAUCAGAAAUUUCGGUUCUAGUAUUUGUCUAAUUGUGUUCAAAUUUGUCGGUCAUAUCUUAAUAGUUACUAGUCACUUGGAAUCGUUAAUCUUAAAUGAGAAAAUAUAUUUUUUUAUGGUAA
Daphnia pulex (common water flea) is the source of this 1671-nucleotide long non-coding RNA. RefSeq lists it as uncharacterized. The record is from RefSeq and is a predicted model, not a curated record. NCBI's taxonomy places the organism in Eukaryota, Metazoa, Arthropoda, Branchiopoda, Diplostraca, Daphniidae. The transcript has 3 exons.